CCUACGGGGUAGACGCGGUUAGAGGCCAAGGUCAAGUUGAAAGUUGCUGUCUAGCCGACGAG
RNAcentral lists this small RNA (62 nucleotides) under Hucho hucho (huchen). RNAcentral's name for it is "HOXA transcript at the distal tip, conserved region 2 (ENSHHUG00000007546.1)". The record is from RNAcentral. Lineage: Eukaryota; Metazoa; Chordata; Actinopteri; Salmoniformes; Salmonidae.